Molecule: long non-coding RNA, 11198 nt
Filed under: Vigna radiata
Lineage: Eukaryota; Viridiplantae; Streptophyta; Magnoliopsida; Fabales; Fabaceae
Description: long non-coding RNA (VRAD_LNC007791)
Source: RNAcentral
UAUGUGAUUUCCCACUUAGUGUUAGGCAAGGCUUUAAGCCACUAACAUUUCCACACAAGCCUUUAUUAUUUCUUACUGCGUCCAUUGUAGCAUUGCCAAUGGUCUGGAAUUAUUAGAUCCAAGACUCAAAAUUUGAAGAUUCUUCAUUGAUACAAUCUCUAUGGGAAUAUUUCCUAAAAGAUUAUUGUUGUUGAGUGAUAGACGAAACAACAAAACCAAUAAUUUAGAUAAAUCUUGUGGAAUGCUUCCUGUAAGAUGAUUUGAGGAUAACUGAAGUUCACGUAAUUCGGUUGCCUCGCUUAGUUCUGGUGGGAUAACACCUGAUAAGUUAUUGUUAGAGAUCUUGAGGCUUGUGAGGCUACGGAACUUCCCCCAAUUUGGUGAAAGAUGACCAUAAAAAUUGUUUUCACUCAAUUCGAUGUAAACCAAGUUUGGAAGUACACCAAAAGCAUAUAUUAUGUUUCCACUUAGUUGAUUUUCCUCAAGUCUCACUCGUACAAAACUAGAGCAAUUCUUCAAACUCUCUGGAAUAUGGCCAGUGAAAUGGUUAUUGCUAGCGGAAAAUUUUGCCAACAUUCCACCAACACAAAUGUUGUGAGGUAAAUGGCCGACAAAAUUAUUAUCAGCGAGCUGCAAAUUUUCCAAAGCAAUAAUCCUGUUCAUUUGUAUUGGAAUAUUGCCACUGAGAUAAUUUUCAAUCAAAUUCAAUUUGUGAAGCUUUGACAUAUUUCCAAUAGUGGAAGGAAUGUAUCCAGAAAGUUUGUUUUGAUAAAGUAAAACGGAUUCCAAAUUGACCAGGUUACCUAUGGAAGUAGGGAUUGGUCCAAAGAGAUUAUUGCCCAGCAACUGGAUUGUUAGAAGGGAAUGCAAAUUUCCUAUUUCAUCCGGGAUAAAGCCAGAUAAUUGGUUGUCAUAAAGGUAAAGAUAACUUAGAUUGCUCAAGUUUCCAAUUGUGGAAGGGAUUUUACCAGAGAGAAUAUUCUCAAACCAAACAAGUUCACUGAGUUUUCUCAAAAAUCCAAUUUCAGGAGGAAUAAAACCUGACAAUUGGUUUCCUUCAAGGAAAAGUUUAUUUAGGUUGCUCAAAUAUCCAAUUUCACGAGGAAUAGAGUCAGAGAGAUUAUUACUUUGAAGAUAUAGCCUCUUGAGGUUGACCAACUUACCAAUUUCACUAGAAAUAUGACCAGAAAGUUUAUUGUCAUGUAAGCUGAGAAGUGAUAGAUUGGUCAAAGCUCCAAUUGAAAUAGGUAUGGACCCAAAAAGAUCAGAAGAACUCAUGUCGAGCUCUAUUAAUUUCCCCAACAUCCCAAUUUCUUGGGGGAUGGUGCCUGUAACACCCCUUCUCGGAGUGUCACAGAUUUUUUUUUUUUAAAUACACGUUCACAUUUAAAACCACACAUUUAUUAAUAUUAUACAUUGAGAACAUCAGAGUUUUUCAAGAACAAUUAUUGGAUUACAGACCAAAUCAUAAAAGUAUAUUAAAAUUAAAAACCACAACGUUCCAUGAUUUAAAAUACAUAUUUAAAAAUCCCAAAGAGUGUUUCCCCAACGCAUCCUCGCACUAAACGUCUUCAGUUUUACCUGAAACAUCAUCUACUCCCGUAUAACGACACGAGUUAUACGAUCAUCGUAGACACACAAGUAGGGUGAGCUAACAGAAAAAUAUGAGUUACAGAUAAACCUACUUACAUACUUUGAAUAAUAUUAUUAAUGUAAACAUACUACCAUCACGUAUACUUCAGACACUACUCACUUCUCAUCUGACUCUAAUCACUUCUCAUUUCUCACGUAUCUAUGGAAUUUAUCUCGAUUUUUUUCGCAUUUGUUAAGUUUAUGCCACAACCAGUCCCUCAUAUGGACCGCGGAUAAGAGUCGUCCUACGCACACCACAUUGGACAUAUCUCCCUAAUUCUUCAAGGGCUUACGAGUAAAAACAUUGGUGAGUAACAUCCAUUCACCAAGCACAAUACUCAGCACAAGUCAGAAACUCUUGGCGAGAUAUUUGUACCCUCUAGAAAGAGGAAAAGUAACAGGACUCGAAUCCACUUAUCGCCUUACAUAGGCAAAAAGGAAAUCAUCAUUUUUAACUACCGAGAUAAAUAUAAAUCAUCCCAAUGAUACGAUAAGAUUAGAGAAUCAAAAAGGAUUAUCUAUUAGACUAAAAGAACUCAACAUCCAUUAACUUAAAUUAAAUCUAAAAUACAUUCAGAAUAACGUGUUGUCUACUUUGACCUUGGCUCAAUGUUUUACUCGUAAUUUUUCUCUACAGUAUUCCAACUGAAGAGAUUCUUGUUUUGUUGGAUUCUAAACUCAAGAAUCUUUUCUUAGACACCAGACUAGUAAAAUAUCCUUCAUUACAAUUUUAAUAUUUAAAAUAUUCAACACAAAAAGUAUUGGUAAGCUACCAAAAACAUAAUUUUCAUAUAAACGUUCUGGAAAACCAAGAAGUUGAAUCUGGCAAAGCCGGUUAGACAUCUUCUUAUCCUUCCAGAUAGAUGUAAUAGAAAAAGGAUAUACACUCAAUAAUUCAUACAAACAUCAUAAAAUCCAUUCAUCCCAAAAAAAAAAAUCAUACAAAUUAAAUAUAUCACAAAAUAAUUUAACUGCACAUAAUCUGUUUGAUAAGAAUUAGUUAAAAACACAACGAGUAGACUUCCAGGAAAGAGAGGUGUGUCACAAUGGACAACUUAAGUACCAGGUCUUUCCUUAGCCAAAGUGUUCCUCAAUGUGUUAUUAACAGAUUUCUUAUUCACAGAUUCAAAACAACAGCAUAUAAUAUUAUCACAGAAAUUCAAAUAGUUAUGCAACAAGCACAUAGGUUUUUCAUUAAUAGUAAUUGCACAAAAUUUCAAGACAUGAAUAGUUAUAAAAAAAUAUUUUAUAAAUAAAUAAAAAAACUUAGAAAGGUUAGCUCCCCUUACCUCUAUUUUAGACUCAAUUCCUUCCUCCGAAGUUGUUCCCCCCGAAAAUCUUCCAGAACCCCUACUCUUCUAAAAUUUUCUUCCUAACUCUUUCUUCUCAAGAUUUCUCACUUGAUUCUUCCUCUCUUUAUGCAGAAUGAGCUCUCCUCCCAUGGCUAUUUAUAGUCCAAAAAAUUUUACUAUUUAAAUUAUUUUAAUAUUAUUUUAUUAAUAUUUUAAUCACCACUUGCAAAUCUUAUCCUUUCUUAAUAAUGCAACUCAAUGAUUCUUAUCCUUUCAUUAUUUUAUUUUUAUUAUUAUUAUUAUUAUUUUUUUUUACUAUUCACGUUUUACUAUUCACUUUUUACUAUUCACUUUUUUUUUUUAACAAAACCUUCUAAAAUAGGUUCUCAAAAUUUUAAACCCCUUCUUAUGAAAUUAUUAUAAUUUUCUAUCAUAAUCUAAAUGUUUCUAACCUUAACUAUAUUUUCCAUUCAUUAAAAUUAUUAUUACUAAUAAUAAUGCUAAAAUUUACUAUUAUUUAUAAAUAUUUUACAUGGGUCUUACAGUGCCAGAAAGGCCGCUUUCCCCAAGAUAUAGGAUCUCCAGGUUUCUCAUAUUCACAAUUUCUUUGGGAAUGGAAACAUGGAAGUUAUUAAUUGUAAGUGAUAAAUGGUUUAGGUCAAUGUGCAAAUUCUCUGAGGAAUGCUGCCAAAAAGGUUGUUGCCUGCUACAUCUAGAUGAAUCAAAUUGUUCAACUUUUCUAUAGAGAUUGGGAUUGUCCCUGUGAGAUUGCAAAAAGGAACAUGAAGCAUUCUCAGCUCCCUUAAUCUCCCUAUUUCUUGGGGAAGGGACUCACUGAAAGUAUUAUAACUCAUGUUCAACUUCUGAAGGCUAAUCAACUGUGUUAUUUCAGAAGGGAUAAUCCCAGAGAGUUUAUUAGCAGACAAAUCAAGAACAACUAGAUUGGACAGAACUCCAAUUUAAGGAGGAAUACUUCCAAUCAGAAAGUUGUUAGUGAUCACAUGCAAUUCCGAGCCAAUUGCAAGAAGUGUUAGCAGUCCAUGAAAAGAGAGAAGCUUGACUCUGCUUGUCAAGGCUGGCUUUCCACUUCACCAGAGCAUUUGCUUCUGAAGCAAUUCCGGAAGAAUUGAAAGCAUGAGAAUGGGGAAUGCAGAAAACAACAUUAGAAGAAGCAACCAAAAGGGUUGGAACUUCAUCGACAGAAGCGUUGGAAAUAUGAACAUCAUACUGAAUUGUUCACACAGCUACUUAGGUUCGACACACACAUAGAUCUCCACACAUGAUAAGAUAUUGUCCGCUUUGGGCCAAGCCCUCACGGUUUUGCUUUUGGUGCCACUCCAAAAGGCAUCUUAUCAGCCUUCACGGGUUUGCUUUUGGUACCACUCCAAAAGGCCUCUUAUCAUUGGAGGAAUGUAUGUGUAUUUAAACCCUUGACCAGCCCUUCUUUUACUCGAUGUGGGACUUUGUUUGCAUUCCAACAUUUUUUUUUCCUCAAAUUGAGUCUUAUUAUUCAUUGAUAAUUGAAGGGCUUUAAAUAGCCAUGAUACUUACAAUAUCAUGGAAAUAAAAAUAAAAUCUGAAAAUAAAAUAUCAACUGACUUAAAAAUAAAAUCUCCUUAACCUAUCAUACAAUAAUAUUCUAUCUAAUAAACAGAAAAUCAUAACUACUCAUUCAUAUUUUAUCUCUAUCAAAUCAAACCAAAUAUUACUAGACUCAAAACUAAUAAAAUAAUAUUUAAACAAAAUUAUUAAUAAAACCCUAAAAUUUAAGUUUAUCUCAAGUUUAUCUCAACAAACUCCCCCAUAAACUUAAAUUCUUCCUUCCUUGCUUUCCAUGUGCAUCAUCCCACACCGGGUUUGUUUCUUCUCUCCAAGAUUUUCAGCUCUGGUUCUUCUUUGCUUUUACCUGGGUUGUUAGACGACCAUGCUUAACCUUUAAGUACACAAAUUUGGCCUCCACCUUGGUGAGUUCACAAAAAAAGUUCUCGUUCCCACACAUAUGAUUGCUUGCUCCAGUAUCUAGAUACCAUACUGAGUUGGUAGAAAUCUCAUCGGCCUUCAUCUCUUCUUCAUCUUCUUCCCUAGAUGUUUUCUCUUCCUUUUCAGGAGCUGUCUUCCUCAGUUCCUCAAGCUCAACCCUCUGUUUAUUCGUAAUUUCAUUAGCUUCAUCUAGAAGCCUCCUUAUUCGCCGAAUCUCUUCAUCUUUUCCUUUGAGUUCUUUCUCCAGGUUUUCCUUCUCCACAAUUGUUGCAUCCUUUACCGAGAUCACUUCAUCCAUUGUUGGGAUUGGGCUCUCCAUGUCCACUACAUCCAAGAUCUUUGCUAUCAACAAUUCUUCUGCAUCUUCUUCUGCAUAUUCAGUAACGAGAUUCGUCUCCCCCUUUGUCUUGGUCUCGCAAUACCUUGAAAUAUGAUCAAACUUGCCACAGUUGUAGCACCUUGUUGCCCAACACUCGUUUUCAUAGUGGUCGCACUUGCCACACCUAAAACACUCUGCCCUUGACCGAUCUCCUCGGUAUUUUCCUUGUCUUCGAUCAUGCCAAUUCUGUUGACCGGUUUGAUCUUCAUUGCCUCUACCACGUCCACCUCGUCCUCGGCCUCCUCGCCAUCUUCCACCAGGACCUCGGCUCUGAGUAAUCUGAGAUUUAUCAAAGUCCCACAUCGAGUAAAAGAAGGGCUGGUCAAGAGUUUAAAUACACAUAGAUACCUCCAAUGAUAAGAGGCCUUUUGGAGUGGUACCAAAAGCAAAUUCGUGAGGGCUUGGCCCAAAGCGGACAAUAUCUUAUCAUGUGUGGAGAUCUAUGUGUGUGUUAAACCUCCCCCAACAGUGGUAUCAGAGCCCAUGGUUCUGGUCUGGUGACCGAGCUCAAACGAGUACGUCCUCCCAUGAUCAGGUGAGUCAGGCAGGAGGCCAGUGGCCACCGGAUGAAUCAUGAGAGGUGGGGAGAGCAAGAGAUGCUCAUUGUGACCAUGGAUCAUGAGGGCUUGGCCCAAAGCGGGCAAUAUCUUAUCAUGUGUAGAUAUCUAUGUGUGUGUCAAACCUCUCCAACAAUUAUCUAUACAUUAUCUGUAUGUGUUCCAUAAUUUUUCGUCCUUAAUACGACUGUAAGUUUCUUGCACUUAAAUUUAUUAAAGUUAUUGUCUUAUCAUCAUUUAAUAACACAAAUUUGAAAGUGAAAAUAAAUCAUUUUCAAAUAAGAAGAUAUAAAAAACAACUUUCAAAUUUAGGGAUUAUAAAAAUAUUUUUAAAUUUGGAGGACUAAAAUAUUUUAAUUUGCAGAAAUUAAAAUGUAAAUUUUAUAUUUUGAGUGGUUAAAAAAUCACUUUUAAAUUUAACGGACUAAAAUAAAGUUUAAUACAAAUUUUAGAGAAUAAAAACAUUUUAGCCGGAAAAUUCUUGAAAAUGUAUUUCCACAUUAUUAUUUUACGGACAUGAUCCAGAUGUUGUUAGGCACGUUAACCAUCUUAACAACUAAUGUAACGAUAUUAUAUUAUUGAUGAGGAACAAAAGGAUUAUUUUUAGAAUUUUAAAAUUAAAAAUAAUUUUUAAUUUAGGAAUCUAAAUCAGAAAAAAAAAAUCAAAUUUAAAGAUUAAAAGUAUUUAUUUUUACAGUGCAUUAUUUUUCUUUCUUUGCAUUUAUUCAUCCAUUUUAAUCCUUCAUUAUCAGUGCAUCUAUUUUUACAGUCUAUGUUUUCAUUACAGUAUCUUGCAUUCAUUGAUUAGUUUUAGUAAAUACAUGCAUUAUUAGAUAGUUUUAUAUUUUAGAUUUCAGUUUUACAAUUUUCUCUCCACCUACUUUUUAGUAAAUAAGUAUUUAGGCUUAAUUCUACAGUUUCUAAACUUGAUAAGUACCAAGUCCACGGAUUGAUCCUUGGUUGACCCCUAUAUUACAUUAGUGGGGAAAUUUAAGGUUUGUUGACUUUUGUGCGACCAAAAGCCUUUCAACAACAACCAACUUAACAUAUGAGACUAAAUUGACACAAAUUGAAUAACAUGGGGACCCAAUCUAUAUAUUUUUAAAAGAGGGUACUAAACUGAAAAUUUCCUCUUAACAUGGGGACCAAUUAAGGAUUUAAGUCCAUAUAAUUAUUAACAAUAUUUAAUUAUGAUUAUAUCUCAUAGUAUCUCGCAGUUACAAGUUUAAAGUAACACAAAUUAACAUAUAAAAAUUCAACACAAAAAAGAAAAUAGCAAAUAAUAAAACCCACCCUCUUUAUAAACUUCAAUCUUUAGCUAUACACGUAUGUUGCAAUCUUGACUCCAUUCAUGGAAGAUGUGAGCUUUACAUUACAAGUUCAUUGGCAACCUCCUUCAUAUUAGGACGAGAUCGUGGACUUUCAGUCAAACAAGCAACUGCUAUCUUUGCAAUUGAUGUCACUUCUUUAACUGAACAUUUUGUUGGAGGAGGAAGACGCUGGUCCAACUUCUCCAUCAAUGUCAAGUGAUCAAGUGUUAAGGCCACACUUGUGGAUGAAGAUGAUAAAGAGGAAGAUAUAAAAUCAGCAGGAUGCUUUCCAAGAAGUAUUUCCCAUGCCAACACUCCAAAACUAUACACGUCACAUUUCUCAUUCACUUCCAUUGUGUAUGCAAGUUCUGUAACAAACUAAACCUUNNNNNNNNNNNNNNNNNNNNNNNNNNNNNNNNNNNNNNNNNNNNNNNNNNNNNNNNNNNNNNNNNNNNNNNNNNNNNNNNNNNNNNNNNNNNNNNNNNNNNNNNNNNNNNNNNNNNNNNNNNNNNNNNNNNNNNNNNNNNNNNNNNNNNNNNNNNNNNNNNNNNNNNNNNNNNNNNNNNNNNNNNNNNNNNNNNNNNNNNNNNNNNNNNNNNNNNNNNNNNNNNNNNNNNNNNNNNNNNNNNNNNNNNNNNNNNNNNNNNNNNNNNNNNNNNNNNNNNNNNNNNNNNNNNNNNNNNNNNNUCACGAUGAAUAAUUGGUGGUGAGCAAUCAUAAUGCAUGUACAAUAAAGCAUUUGCUACAUCUUUAAUAACAUUCACUCUCUUAUUCCAAUCAAAUGCAAUUGCUUCUUCAUCAUCCUUCAAAAUAUUCUGGACAUUGCCCUUCUCCAAGAAUUCACACACCAUAAAUGACCAUUGGUAAUGCGAACAAAACCCAUAUAACUUUACUAUGUUACGAUGGCGAAUUUCUGUCAGAGCUUGGAUCUCACUUCUGAAAGCUUUCACAUUGAGCUUUUCUUCAUUUGGAACUGAAUGCAGUUUCUUUACAGCCACAACUUGACCUGAGGGUAACAUUGCUUUGUAAACUUGUCCUUGCCCUCCAACUCCAAUGAGAUGCUUAUCGUCAAAAUUUUCAGUGGCUUCAACAAUAUUCUCAAAUACCAUUUUGCCAUCAAAACUCCAUAUAGCAAAUGUGUUUGAAGUUUGUAAAUUGGUAGCUUCCUCUUCCAUUUUCAUUGAAGUUUUACAUAAAUAAUACAAGACUCCAAUAACAAACAAUGCCAGCAUUAGAGUGCCCAAAGUAAGGGGUAGAACCAUUGUUAUGACUUUCUUUGUCAUAUGCUUAUGUGAUUUCCCACUUAGUGUUAGGCAAGGCUUUAAGCCACUAACAUUGCCACACAAGCCUUUAUUAUUUCUUACUGCGUCAAUUGUAGCAUUGCGAAAGACUGGAAUGUUUGGAAGUGGACCCUCAAAAUCAUUGUAAGAUAUAUCAAUAGAUGUCAAGCUCAUCAUUUCAUCAAAGAUAGAAAGAUCACCUGAGAGACUAUUGUGAGAGAGAUUCAAUGUUUCUAAUUUUUUUAACCCUCCAAGCACAUGUGUUAAUGUUCCCCUCAACAAAUUUUCGCUGAGAUCAAGAGUUGUAAGAGAUAUUAAUUUGCCAAGCUCUAAGGGAAUAUUUCCCUCAAAUUUGUUCUGACUCAAAUUCAUUUCCAAUAAACUGAGCAAAUUUCCAAGUUGGCCUGGAAUUAACCCAGACAAAUUAUUAGAUCCAAGCCUCAAAAUUUGAAGAUUCUUCAUUGAUGCAAUUUUUGAGGGAAUAUUUCCUGAAAGAUUAUUGUUGUUGAGUGAUAGACUAAACAACAAAACCAAUUUAGAUAAAUCUUGUGGAAUGCUUCCUGUAAGAUGAUUUGAGGAUAACUGAAGUUCACAUAAUUCGGUUGCCUCGCUUAGUUCUGGUGGGAUAACACCUGAUAAGUUAUUGUUUAAGAUCUUGAGGCUUGUGAGGCUACGAAACUUCCCCCAAUUUGGUGAAAGAUGACCAUAAAAAUUGUUUUCACUCAAUUCGAUGUAAACCAAGUUUGGAAGUACACCAAAAGCAUCUGUUAUGUUUCUAGUUAGUUGAUUUUCCUGAAGUCUCACUCGUAGAAGGCUAGAGCAAUUCUUCAAACUCUCUGGAAUAUGGCCAGUGAAAUGGUUAUUGCUAGCGGAAAAUUUUGCCAACUUUCCACCAACACAAAUGUUGUGAGGUAAAUGGCCAACAAAAUUAUUAUCAACCAGCUGCAAACUUUCCAAAGCAAUAAUCCUGUUCAUUUCUAUUGGAAUCUUGCCACUGAGAUUAUUGUCAAAUAAAAUGAAUUCGUGAAGCUUUGACAAAUUUCCAAUAGUGGAAGGAAUGGAUCCAGAAAGUUUGUUUUGAUAAAGUAAAACAGAUUCCAAAUUGACCAAGUUACCUAUGGAAGUAGGGAUUGGUCCUGAGAGAUUAUUGUCAAAUAAAAAUAAUUGACGAAGCUUCGACAAAUUUCCAAUAGUGGAAGGAAUGGAUCCAGAAAGUUUGUUUUGAGAAAGAGAAACGGAUUCCAAAUUGACCAGGUUACCUAUGAUAGUAGGAAUGGGUCCAGAGAGGUUGUUUUGAUCAAGUAAAAUUGAUUUCAAAUUGACCAGGUUACCUAUGGAAGUAGGGAUUAGUCCAAAGAGGUUGUUUUGAGAAAGAGAAAUGGAUUCCAAAUUGACCAGGUUACCUAUGGAAACAGGGAUUGGUCCAGAAAGAUUGUUUUGAUGAAGUAAAAUAAAUUCCAAAUUGACCAGGUUACCUAUGGAAGUGGGAAUUGGUCCAGAAAGAUUGUUUUGAUGAAGUAAAAUAGAUUCCAAAUUGACCAGGUUACCUAUGGAAGUAGGAAUUGGUCCAGAGAGAUUAUUGCCCAGCAACUGGAUUGUUAGAAGGGAAUGCAAAUUUCCUAUUUCAUAUGGGAUAAAGCCAGAUAAUUGGUUGUCAUAAAGGUAAAGAAAGUUUAGAUUGCUCAAGUUUCCAAUUGUGGAAGGGAUUUUACCAGAGAGAAAAUUCUGAGACAAAUCAAGUUCACCGAGUUUUCUCAAAAGUCCAAUUUCAGGAGGAAUAGAGCCUAAAAAUUGGUUUCCAUAAAGGUUAAGACUAGUUAGAUUGAUCAACUUACCAAUUUCACGAUGAAUGUGUCCAGAAAGAUUACAAUGGCCUAUGUCGAGAUAUACUAGUUUCCUCAGCAUGUAAAUUUCUUGGGGCAUGGUGCCAGAAAGGCCACUAUCCCCAAGAUAUAGAAACUCCAGGUUCCUCAUAUUCACAAUUUCUUUGGGAAUGGAACCAUGGAAUUUAUUAGUUCCAAAUGACAAAUACUUUAGGUCCAUGUGCCAAAUUCUCUGAGGAAUGCUGCCAGAAAGGUUGUUGGAUCCUAUAUCUAGAUGAAUCAAAUUGUUCAACUUUUCUAUAGAGAUUGGGAUUGUCCCUGUGAGAUUGCAAUAAGGAACAUGAAGCAUUCUCAGCUCCCUCAAUCUUCCUAUUUCUUGAGGAAGGGACCCAUUAAAAGUAUUUUGUGCCAUGAUUAAUGUCUGAAGGCCAAUCAACUGUGUUAUUUCAGAAGGGAUAAUCCCAGAGAGUUUAUUAGCAGACAAAUCAAGAACAACUAGAUUGGACAGAACACCAAUUUGAGGAGGAAUGCUUCCGUUCAAAGAAUUGUUACUUACAUUUAGAGUGUGAAUGUUUGUAAGCAUUGAGAAGUUGAGAUUUUGAAGCGUACCUCUCAAUCCAAUAUUUUGAAGAUUUAUUUGGGAAACAUGAUUGGAGUGAUCACAUGCAAUUCCGAGCCAAUUGCAAGAAGUGUUGGCAGUCCAUGAAGAGAGAGAAGCUUGACUCUGCUUGUCAAAGCUGGCUUUCCACUUCAGCAGAGCAUUUGCUUCUGAAGCAAUUCCAGAAGAAUUGAAAGCAUGAGAAUGGGGAAAUGCACAAAACAACAUUAGAAGAAUCAACCAAAAAGGUUGGAACUUCAUGGACAGAAGUGUUGGAAAUAUGAACAUCAUACUGAAUUGUUCAUACAAUAUUGAAUUGCAACGUAAGAGAAAGCUUGCAUGUUAUU